UACGGGGGGGGCAAGCGUUGUUCGGAAUUACUGGGCGUAAAGGGCUCGUAGGCGGCCAACUAAGUCAGACGUGAAAUCCCUCGGCUUAACCGGGGAACUGCAUCUGAUACUGGAUGGCUUGAGUUCGGGAGAGGGAUGCGGAAUUCCAGGUGUAGCGGUGAAAUGCGUAGAGAUGUGGAGGAAUACCGAUGGCGAAGGCAGCCCCCUGGGCCAGUACUGACGCUCAUGCACGAAAGCGUGGGGAGCAAACAGG
Molecule: ribosomal RNA, 253 nt
Filed under: uncultured bacterium
Lineage: Bacteria
Description: partial 16S ribosomal RNA
Rfam family: Bacterial small subunit ribosomal RNA
Source: RNAcentral